AUUCAUUGGCAAAUCAAAUAAUUAU
This 25-nucleotide non-coding RNA is filed under the name Rattus norvegicus (Norway rat). Lineage: Eukaryota; Metazoa; Chordata; Mammalia; Rodentia; Muridae. The record is from RNAcentral.